Molecule: ribosomal RNA, 724 nt
Filed under: uncultured Actinomycetes bacterium
Lineage: Bacteria; Bacillati; Actinomycetota; Actinomycetes
Description: bacterial SSU rRNA
Rfam family: Bacterial small subunit ribosomal RNA
Source: RNAcentral
CGGCGUGCUUAACACAUGCAAGUCGAACGGAAAGGCUCCAGCUUGCUGGAGUACUCGAGUGGCGAACGGGUGAGUAACACGUGGGCAAUCUGCCCUGCACUCUGGGAUAAGCCUGGGAAACUGGGUCUAAUACUGGAUAGGACCUUUCUCCUCAUGGGGUUUGGUGGAAAGUUUUUCGGUGCAGGAUGAGCCCGCGGCCUAUCAGCUUGUUGGUGGGGUAAUGGCCUACCAAGGCGACGACGGGUAGCCGGCCUGAGAGGGUGAUCGGCCACAUUGGGACUGAGAUACGGCCCAGACUCCUACGGGAGGCAGCAGUGGGGAAUAUUGCACAAUGGGCGGAAGCCUGAUGCAGCGACGCCGCGUGAGGGAUGACGGCCUUCGGGUUGUAAACCUCUUUCAGUAGGGACGAAGCGUAAGUGACGGUACCUGCAGAAGAAGCACCGGCUAACUACGUGCCAGCAGCCGCGGUAAUACGUAGGGUGCGAGCGUUGUCCGGAAUUACUGGGCGUAAAGAGCUCGUAGGCGGUUUGUCACGUCGUCUGUGAAAUCCUAGGGCUUAACCCUGGACGUGCAGGCGAUACGGGCUGACUUGAGUACUACAGGGGAGACUGGAAUUUCUGGUGUAGCGGUGGAAUACACAGAUAUCAGGAAGAACACCGAUGGCGAAGGCAGGUCUCUGGGUAGUAACUGACGCUGAGGAGCGAAAGCAUGGGUAGCGAACAGG